RNAcentral lists this non-coding RNA (27 nucleotides) under Homo sapiens (human). Lineage: Eukaryota; Metazoa; Chordata; Mammalia; Primates; Hominidae. The record is from RNAcentral.
CUGGGUUUAGAACAUGGGCUUCUUGUU